CACGUAGGGCGCAAGCGUUGUCCGGAAUUAUUGGGCGUAAAGGGCGCGUAGGCGGUCUGCUAAGUUGGAUGUGAAAACUCUGGGCUUAACCCAGAGCCUGCAUUCAAUACUGACAGACUAGAGUGCGGUAGGGGAGACUGGAAUUCCUGGUGUAGCGGUGAAAUGCGCAGAUAUCAGGAGGAACACCGGUGGCGAAGGCGGGUCUCUGGGCCGUAACUGACGCUGAGGAGCGAAAGCAUGGGGAGCGAACAGG
Molecule: ribosomal RNA, 253 nt
Filed under: uncultured bacterium
Lineage: Bacteria
Description: partial 16S ribosomal RNA
Rfam family: Bacterial small subunit ribosomal RNA
Source: RNAcentral